CAAACUUGAUCUAGCGUAUUUGAAGUUUCUAGAAAAUAAUUUUUGGAAUUUUUCGAUAUCAUUUACCUAGCAAUUGAAAGGAUUCAAAAUCAAUAAUUUUUAACGGCUGAAAAUAAAAAUCCUAUAAAAAGUGGUGAUAUAGCACUAAAAUUUUCAAUCAGAAAUAUUGAUCUUGUUGUAGAUAGUAUAAAGAAUUUUGUAUCAAAAUUUCAUCUGAUUUGAAUACUUCUACACCGUUAAACUUGAAAACGACAGAUAUCAACCAUUAAAAAUUAUGAAUUUUGAAUCGUUUCGAUCAUUAGGAAAAUGAUAUCAAAAAAUCGCAAAAAUUGUUUUCUAGAAACUUCAAAUGCACUAGAGUUUCCGAAUCACUAGGUAAAUGAUAUAUAUAUAUAGUUCGGCUACUCUUAUGAGUACGAUUACGAUUGCCUUCGUACUCAUAAGUCUUUUUCGAUGAUAGAGUUUCCGAAUCGAUGAUCCAUAUUAUUAAACGUUAUCUAGAGCAUUUAAAACCUUUAUAAAUCAAAUUUAAUAAUUUUUUGACAUCAUUUACCUUAUGAUCAAAAGAUCUCAAAAUUGAUAAUUUUUAAUGACCGGUAUGAAAUAAUUGUUAGUUUAACGGCGUAAAAGAAUCGGAAUCGUUUGAAUUUUUGAUAAAAAAUUCUAUUCACUAUCUAGAUAAAAAUCAAUGACUCUAAUCUUAAAUUAAAGGAUCCGAUCAUCCAUUUUUAGGACGUCAUUCGAUUUUGACCAUUCAUUUUAUACCCACUUGAUGGACUUUAUUAUGAUUUCGAAAAAUUACGAAAUUUAUUUUUUAGAAGUUUCAAAUACUCUAGAUCAUAUUUAAUGGAGCGGAUCGUCGAUUCAAAAUCUCCA
RNAcentral lists this long non-coding RNA (876 nucleotides) under Ananas comosus (pineapple). RNAcentral's name for it is "long non-coding RNA (ACOM_LNC018544)". The record is from RNAcentral. Lineage: Eukaryota; Viridiplantae; Streptophyta; Magnoliopsida; Poales; Bromeliaceae.